CAGUGUUAUAGCUCUUUUAGAAUUUAUCUAGCAGAUUUUCCAGUUGUCACUGGAAGACCCCC
RNAcentral lists this small nuclear RNA (62 nucleotides) under Microcebus murinus (gray mouse lemur). Its description in RNAcentral is "U7 small nuclear RNA (ENSMICG00000047393.1)". It matches the Rfam family "U7 small nuclear RNA". Rfam says of the family: Animal histone pre-mRNAs are spliced by a different mechanism than nuclear pre-mRNAs and self-splicing introns. This processing involves the U7 snRNP, which contains only one RNA species: U7. The 5' end of U7 RNA is thought to base-pair to a conserved spacer element downstream of the cleavage site in histone pre-mRNA. The record is from Rfam by way of RNAcentral. Lineage: Eukaryota; Metazoa; Chordata; Mammalia; Primates; Cheirogaleidae.